This 560-nucleotide ribosomal RNA is filed under the name uncultured bacterium. RNAcentral describes it as "partial 16S ribosomal RNA". It matches the Rfam family "Bacterial small subunit ribosomal RNA", at positions 355 to 902 of the family's 1533-position model. The record is from RNAcentral.
UGGGGAAUAUUGCACAAUGGGCGCAAGCCUGAUGCAGCCAUGCCGCAUGUGUGAAGAAGGCCUUCGGGUUGUAAAGCACUUUCAGCGAGGAGGAAGGUGGUGAACUUAAUACGUUCAUCAAUUGACGUUACUCGCAGAAGAAGCACCGGCUAACUCCGUGCCAGCAGCCGCGGUAAUACGGAGGGUGCAAGCGUUAAUCGGAAUUACUGGGCGUAAAGCGCACGCAGGCGGUUUGUUAAGUCAGAUGUGAAAUCCCCGGGCUCAACCUGGGAACUGCAUUUGAAACUGGCAAGCUAGAGUCUCGUAGAGGGGGGUAGAAUUCCAGGUGUAGCGGUGAAAUGCGUAGAGAUCUGGAGGAAUACCGGUGGCGAAGGCGGCCCCCUGGACGAAGACUGACGCUCAGGUGCGAAAAGCGUGGGGAGCAAAACAGGAUUAGAUACCCUGGUAGUCCACGCUGUAAAACGAUGUCGAUUUUGGAGGUUGUGCCCUUGAGGCGUGGCUUCCGGAGCUAACGCGUUAAAUCGACCGCCUGGGGAGUACGGCCGCAAGGUUAAAAACUC